GCAGUGACAAUUAUUGAAACAACAAUAAUAUAAAAUAUCAACGCAGCAAUUAUUGAAUCAAUAAAAUAAAAUAUUGAACAGUAAUUACUGUAAUAAUUAUUGAGUAGUGCCUUCUUACGUAAGAAUCAAUAAUUUAACAAUAUUGUGCAUUACUGUGUGCUACUGUGCAACCACGCGUAUUACUGUAUUUUAACCACUAGGUAUUCCAACAGUGUUAACGGUAACAAUUACGUCGUUAUUUAUAAAAACUCACACUUUGUCAUUUUCUUCAUCCAAAUAUUAUUCCGUUAUGGGGCCCACAAUUGACUGCGCCAUCGUACGGAUAUUCCCGACAAAAAGAAUAAUCCACGACCAAACGAAUAUUCUCUAACAAAAGGAAUAUUUUAUAACCACUUGCUUAUUUUGCAAAAUUUUCACAUUUAACCCAUAACCAAAGCAUUAUAUCAAAUUAACACCUUAUUAAUUUAGAAUAAUGAAUAGAAGAAAAUUCAAUUUUAUUUAUAAUAAGUUGGGGUCUUACAAUACACCAUAUGUUCUAAAUCUCUGAUUUAUUACUGAAGAAGGCUAUUGAUAAUUUAAUUAUCUUUAGUCAUGAUAUUCUUUACUAGGAUAGUUGUGCUCACCUUUUUGUUUCACAAUUCCUUUCAGGUAAUAAGAGUGUAGCUGGGUCGAGUGGAGGUAACAGGGGAAUAGAACGGUGGUCUAUAACUGUUGAGGUUUCCCCUAAAACAGUAUGGAAAUAAUGUUAUUGAGAAUUUGAGAUAAGUGUGUUGUAUUUUAUACAUCGUUUAACCGUUAAUUUUGGUGAACCGAAUAGGGUAAGGUGAACCCAACUUUGGAAGGGUAUUUUGAAACUAUCAUACAAGAUGUCUAAUGACCUACGACUUCGUGUUAUCAUAAGGCAGGGUUGUGCACAUCCACUUACUGAGUAUAUCUACGAGCACUACCUAUAUAAUCUUGGAGUUUGGUUGAAAUAUAAUUCUCAAUUGGAGACAAUAGAUAUAAUUAUAUGUCAAGAGAAGACUCACCAUUGGAAAGAACAUGAUAGUAAUCUUCUCAUUUUUCUUUGGGGUCUAUUGGGUCAACCAAGGAUAAUUCUCCAGUCAUAUGAUAUCUAUUAUAACUUAGAUGCAUGGCCUCCCAUGUACAAAGGUUUUCUUAAGCAUUUUCCAAAAAUUUUAAUUUCUAAAACAGUUAUUGACUGUACAUUUAUGUAAGGUGCCAUUGUGACGUGCUAUCCAAGAUUGGGAUGAGAGUCACAUUUGGUAUAUAUUUGUAUCAAAACUCAUAGAAUAUGUGUUGGCGUAUUUUGUACGACAUUUGUAUUAAUGAAGUUGUAGUUAUUUCUGUACCAAGUAUUUGGCGACUCAGAAAGGGUUGGGUGGAUUGAAGCUAUUUGGGGGCGUAACAGUUGGUAUCAGAGCUUAGGGAUAUGAUCUCUGGCAGAGAUCGGGGAAUAGAACUAGAAGGGGAGAGACGAGUAAUAUCUUUCGCUAGUGUAUGUCCUACCUAAGCUGAAUUUUCUUACUUAAGUUAACAAAUUGUGAUAUGUAAAUUAACCUUUAUUUUGAAGUUGUAUUCUAGAAUGAUAUUCGAAAUACAUGAGAUGAGCAAUGGAGAAAUCAUGAUAUAGAAGAGAUGACCGGGGAGAUAGAAUCUGAAAUGAAAGUAAGGUAUUCUCAACUCUUUGAAAUACCAGGUACGUAAAUUUCGGGGACAGAAUUUCAUAAAGAGGGGAGAUUGUAAGACACCGAAUUUUAUGAAAUAAAAUUAUUCAAUUUUUAUUAUAAUUAUUAUUCAGUAAAUGAUUAAAUUGAUAAAAAGUUAAAGUUAAGGGUGAUAUAUGUAAAGUUUACAAAAUAAGCAAGUGGUUAUAAAAUAUUCAUUGUUGUCGGGGAAUAUUCGGUUGGUCGUGAAAUAUUCUUGCUGUCGGGGAAUAAUCGUACGAUGGCACAGCCUUUUGUGGGGCCCAUAACGGAAAGCGAUUGGAUGAAAAAAAUGACAAGUAUGAGUUUUUUUAUAAAUAACGGCGUAGUUUUUACCGUUAACACUGUUGGAAUACUCGGUGGUUAAAACACAGUAAUACGUAGGGGUGCUCAAAAAAAUCAAUUUUUUUGGUUUUUUACCGAACUGGUUGGUACCGAAACCGGCGGUAUCGGUUUUUUU
Molecule: long non-coding RNA, 2166 nt
Filed under: Panax ginseng (ginseng)
Lineage: Eukaryota; Viridiplantae; Streptophyta; Magnoliopsida; Apiales; Araliaceae
Description: long non-coding RNA (PGIN_LNC018871)
Source: RNAcentral